GAACCCCAUAAAUUAGGACAUUGGUUUUAGGGUUAUGAUGAGAUCAUACCAGUGAAACCUAAAAUCCUAAAAUCCUAAUUUAGAAUAUUCUCAGUCAAAUUGGUAUAUUGAGUCGGGGAUCAAUAUUACCGGAAAGACUGGCACAUCUUAUGUAUGCUCAAUGUAGAGGGUGAUUGAUCUCACAAUCACUUGUGUGAGACACUAAUAUAAAGAUGUGGGUGCUCAUUAGAGGAAUGAGUUCACUGAAAUGACCAGCCAUGAGAACAUCUUAUGGAUUCUUACUUAAUUAUCAAAAGACGGUUCUCAUAGUGGGAGUUGUGCAAGUGAUCCUUAGACCUGAGAUCACCAUGGUACCUUGUGCACUUGAAGCUAUGUUUUGGUUUACCCUCAUUCACGACAUUGUUGUGUACGGGGUAUUCUGGACAUGGUGGAUUUUGUACGAAGGUUGUGAGUAGGUCAACAAGGAAUCAGUCACUUCUAGUAAGAGAAGGUAGCAUCCUACUUACUCUAAUCUUAUGACGAUUCAAGAAGCCUUUGGUCAAAGCAAAAUGAAUAUUAGAAAGAGUUUCUAAUGUUUCAUUAUUUGAAUUAUCAUAUAAAAGAUUGAGAGAGACAUGAAUAAGUGAUUGAGUUUGAUAUUGAUCCAUACUCAUGCACUUAUUCAGGAUGUAGUAUGACUGAGGGAUUGAAUUGCACGGUAACUUGCCACUGAAGGAUAUGUUUGGAUUUGUCCAAUACAUUCCUCAUCUUCCGGGUAGACAUGAUACGUUGCUAGACGUCAAUCUUGUCUUGUGGGUUGAUCGGAUCAAAGAAUUUGAUUAGAUCAAAGCAUCAGAAAGGUUCUGAUUGCUAAGUCAGGUUUAGCACUAAAUUGAACCUAAAUUGGAUUAGAGGUAUUCUAAUCAUGUUAGGUCAACUUGCACCUGCACCUACUGCUGGCUAAGAUAAGGAACCCAAUGGAUCACACACAAGGGAAUUGAUCAAGGGUCUAAUUGGAUUAGAUCAUGUUUGCAAGAUGAACAUGCUAGCACGUGUUGCAAACCCUAGCUCCUGAUUCAAAUUAAAUUUGAAUCUGAUUCUUUGAUUAGGUUGAUCUAAUAUGAUUAAAUCAUGACCUAAUAUGGGUUAGCCAAGAGUUGAAACCCAUUUGGCUUUAAUUAG
This 1161-nucleotide long non-coding RNA is filed under the name Phoenix dactylifera (date palm). RNAcentral describes it as "long non-coding RNA (PDAC_LNC008635)". Lineage: Eukaryota; Viridiplantae; Streptophyta; Magnoliopsida; Arecales; Arecaceae. The record is from RNAcentral.